GACAUCACCGAUAAUGGUGAGCCCUUGGGUUGUGUCUCCUUCUAGCUGUUUGCAGACCAAGUUCCAAAGACAGCAAGAAACUUUUGCACUCUGAGCAUUAGAGAGAAAAUAUUUGGUUAUAAGGAUUCCUGCUUUCACAGAAUUAUUCCAGGGUUUAUGUGUCAGGAUGGCGACUUCACAGGCCAUAAUGGCACUGGUGGAAAGUCCAUUCAUGGAGAGAAAUUUGAUGAAAACUUCAUCCCAAAGCAUACAGGUCCUGUCAUCUUUCCAUGGCAAAUGCUAGACCCAACACAAACGGUUUCCAGUUUUUCAUCUGCUCUGCCAAGACUGAGUGGUUAGAAGGCAAACAUGUGGUCUUUGGGAAGGUGAAAGAAGGCAUGAAUAUCUCAGAGGCCAUGGAGCACUUUGGGUUCAGGAAUAAGAAGACCAGCAAGAAGAUCACCAUUGCUGACUCUGGACAG
Molecule: long non-coding RNA, 461 nt
Filed under: Homo sapiens (human)
Lineage: Eukaryota; Metazoa; Chordata; Mammalia; Primates; Hominidae
Description: non-protein coding lnc-AUH-8:1
Source: RNAcentral